AUGAGAGGCAGCAUGUGCCUAUGGCAUCUUGUGUCUACGGCAUCUUGUGCCUACGGCAUCUUAUGCCCUCUUCAGCGGUCUUCUAAGGGUCUGGUUAGUUAGCCCUCAGAAAGGCAUCAUGUAUCUGCAGCAUCUUGUGCCUAUGGCAUCUUGUGCUCUUCUCGUCUUUAUACAAGAGACAGCAUGUGCCUGUAGCAUCUUGUGCCAUCCUCGACGGCCUCCUGAGGGUCUGAUUAGUUAGCCCUCAGGAGAGGCAUUGUGUUUGCGGUAUCUUGUGCCUAUGGCAUUUUGUGCUCUUAUCAUCUUCGCACGAGAGGCAGCAUGUACCCGCG
This 332-nucleotide long non-coding RNA is filed under the name Elaeis guineensis (African oil palm). RNAcentral describes it as "long non-coding RNA (EGUI_LNC042284)". Lineage: Eukaryota; Viridiplantae; Streptophyta; Magnoliopsida; Arecales; Arecaceae. The record is from RNAcentral.